GACGAACGCUGGCGGCGUGCCUAAUACAUGCAAGUAGAACGCUGAAGGAGGAGCUUGCUUCUCUGGAUGAGUUGCGAACGGGUGAGUAACGCGUAGGUAACCUGCCUGGUAGCGGGGGAUAACUAUUGGAAACGAUAGCUAAUACCGCAUAAUAGUAGAUGUUGCAUGACAUUUGCUUAAAAGGUGCAAUUGCAUCACUACCAGAUGGACCUGCGUUGUAUUAGCUAGUUGGUGGGGUAACGGCUCACCAAGGCGACGAUACAUAGCCGACCUGAGAGGGUGAUCGGCCACACUGGGACUGAGACACGGCCCAGACUCCUACGGGAGGCCGCAGUAGGGAAUCUUCGGCAAUGGACGGAAGUCUGACCGAGCAACGCCGCGUGAGUGAAGAAGGGUUUCGGAUCGGAAAGCUCUGUUGUAAGAGAAGAACGAGUGUGAGAGUGGAAAGUUCACACUGUGACGGUAUCUUAACAGAAAGGGACGGCUAACUACGUG
RNAcentral lists this ribosomal RNA (495 nucleotides) under uncultured bacterium. RNAcentral describes it as "partial 16S ribosomal RNA". It matches the Rfam family "Bacterial small subunit ribosomal RNA", at positions 28 to 507 of the family's 1533-position model. The record is from RNAcentral.